AGUGGCGGACGGGUGAGUAACACGUGAGAAUCUGGCUCUAGGUCGGGGACAACAGUUAGAAAUGACUGCUAAUACCGGAUGUGCCGGAAGGUAAAAGAUUUAUUGCCUGGAGAUGAGCUCGCGUCUGAUUGGCUAGUUGGUGGGGUAAGAGCCUACCAAGGCGACGAUCAGUAGCUGGUCUGAGAGGACGAUCAGCCACACUGGGACUGAGACACGGCCCAGACUCCUACGGGAGGCAGCAGUGGGGAAUUUUCCGCAAUGGGCGAAAGCCUGACGGAGCAAUACCGCGUGAGGGAGGAAGGCUCUUGGGUUGUAAACCUCUUUUCUCAAGGAAGAAGACAAUGACGGUACUUGAGGAAUAAGCAUCGGCUAACUCCGUGCCAGCAGCCGCGGUAAUACGGAGGAUGCAAGCGU
Molecule: ribosomal RNA, 414 nt
Filed under: uncultured bacterium
Lineage: Bacteria
Description: bacterial SSU rRNA
Rfam family: Bacterial small subunit ribosomal RNA
Source: RNAcentral